GCGGACCUCCCGCGUGGCGGCAUCCUGCUGAACCCCCCCAGGGCCGGAAGGCAGCAAGGGUAAGUGGGCUCUGUCGGGUGCGCGGGGGGUCUUUUGC
This 97-nucleotide signal recognition particle RNA is filed under the name Yinghuangia soli. Its description in RNAcentral is "Bacterial small signal recognition particle RNA". It matches the Rfam family "Bacterial small signal recognition particle RNA". From Rfam's summary of the family: The signal recognition particle (SRP) is a universally conserved ribonucleoprotein involved in the co-translational targeting of proteins to membranes. Archaeal SRP consists of a 7S RNA and homologues of the eukaryotic SRP19 and SRP54 proteins. Lineage: Bacteria; Bacillati; Actinomycetota; Actinomycetes; Kitasatosporales; Streptomycetaceae. The record is from Rfam by way of RNAcentral.